This 878-nucleotide ribosomal RNA is filed under the name uncultured soil bacterium. RNAcentral's name for it is "bacterial SSU rRNA". It matches the Rfam family "Bacterial small subunit ribosomal RNA", at positions 56 to 933 of the family's 1533-position model. The record is from RNAcentral.
UGCAAGUCGAACGGAAUAUUCUGGUAGCAAUAUUAGGAUAUUCAGUGGCGAACGGGUGCGUAACACGUGGGUAACAUGCCGGGAAGAGGAGAAUAGCCCAGGGAAACUUGGAUUAAUGCUCCAUGUGGUCGCAAGACUAAAGACGGGGUAACCUGUCGCUUCCUGAUUGGCCCGCGGCCUAUCAGCUAGUUGGCGAGGUAACGGCUCACCAAGGCGACGACGGGUAGCUGGUCUGAGAGGAUGACCAGCCACACUGGAACUGAGACACGGUCCAGACACCUACGGGUGGCAGCAGUCGAGAAUCUUUCACAAUGGGGGCAACCCUGAUGGAGCGACGCCGCGUGGAGGAUAAGGUCUUCGGAUUGUAAACUCCUGUCAUGCGAGAGUAAGGCUGGUCUGUUAACUGCAGGUCAGAUUGACAGUAUCGCAAGAGGAAGAGACGGCUAACUCUGUGCCAGCAGCCGCGGUAAUACAGAGGUCUCAAGCGUUGUUCGGAAUUACUGGGCGUAAAGGGUGCGUAGGCUGCGCAGAAAGUCAGGUGUGAAAUCCGGGAGCUCAACUUCCGAAUGGCACCCGAUACUCCUGUGCUAGAGGAUUGGAGAGGAGCUUGGAAUUCUCGGUGUAGCAGUGAAAUGCGUAGAGAUCGAGAGGAACACUAGUGGCGAAGGCUGGGCUCUGGACAAUAUCUGACGCUGAGGCACGAAGGUCAGGGGAGCAAACGGGAUUAGAUACCCCGGUAGUCCUGACAGUAAACGGUGCACGCUUGGUGUGGGGGGUGACCCCUUCCGUGCCGAAGCUAACGCGAUAAGCGUGCCGCCUGGGAAGUACGAUCGCAAGAUUAAAACUCAAAGAAAUUGACGGGGACCCGCACAAGCGGU